This 362-nucleotide long non-coding RNA is filed under the name Cricetulus griseus (Chinese hamster). Its description in RNAcentral is "lncRNA (ENSCGRG00015043032.1)". Lineage: Eukaryota; Metazoa; Chordata; Mammalia; Rodentia; Cricetidae. The record is from RNAcentral.
CUAAUCAGCCAGUGAGCCUUGGAGAAUGUUAAUUCAUGUGCAGCUUUCCCCUCGGGACCUCAGCUCACAGGGCUUUCAUGGAAAGUUCUCAGGGUACUCCAUGGAUUGAACUCAGCAGAAGCCUGGGAGCAGUGGGGUGUGCAAUGCAAUUCUGGGUCAGCUUCCUCCGGCAGAAGGCAAGACAGGGAAGAAGCUGGGAAAACGACACAGGCCAGGUGUGCUGGCCUAUACUUUUAACUCACUACUUCGGAGACUGAGACAGGAGGAUCUCCGUGAGUUCGGGGCCAGACUGGUCUACAGAGACGAUGGAGACAGGUGAAGCAGAGCAGACUGACACCGAGAAGGGCUCCGAAAUUUGAAAU